UUAAGCGACUAAGCGUACACGGUGGAUGCCCUGGCAGUCAGAGGCGAUGAAGGACGUGCUAAUCUGCGAAAAGCGUCGGUAAGGUGAUAUGAACCGUUAUAACCGGCGAUGUCCGAAUGGGGAAACCCAGUGCAAUUCGUUGCACUAUCGUUAACUGAAUACAUAGGUUAACGAGGCGAACCGGGGGAACUGAAACAUCUAAGUACCCCGAGGAAAAGAAAUCAACCGAGAUUCCCCCAGUAGCGGCGAGCGAACGGGGAGCAGCCCAGAGUCUGAAUCAGCUUGUGUGUUAGUGGAACGGUCUGGAAAGUCCGACGGUACAGGGUGAUAGUCCCGUACACCAAAAUGCACAGGCUGUGAACUCGAAGAGUAGGGCGGGACACGUGGUAUCCUGUCUGAAUAUGGGGGGACCAUCCUCCAAGGCUAAAUACUCCUGACUGACCGAUAGUGAACCAGUACCGUGAGGGAAAGGCGAAAAGAACCCCGGCGAGGGGAGUGAAAAAGAACCUGAAACCGUGUACGUACAAGCAGUGGGAGCACCUUCGGGUGUGACUGCGUACCUUUUGUAUAAUGGGUCAGCGACUUAUAUUCUGUAGCAAGGUUAACCGUAUAGGGGAGCCGCAGGGAAACCGAGUCUUAACUGGGCGUUAAGUUGCAGGGUAUAGACCCGAAACCCGGUGAUCUAGCCAUGGGCAGGUUGAAGGUUGGGUAACACUAACUGGAGGACCGAACCGACUAAUGUUGAAAAAUUAGCGGAUGACUUGUGGCUGGGGGUGAAAGGCCAAUCAAACCGGGAGAUAGCUGGUUCUCCCCGAAAGCUAUUUAGGUAGCGCCUCGUGAAUUCAUCUUCGGGGGUAGAGCACUGUUUCGGCUAGGGGGUCAUCCCGACUUACCAACCCGAUGCAAACUACGAAUACCGAAGAAUGUUAUCACGGGAGACACACGGCGGGUGCUAACGUCCGUCGUGAAGAGGGAAACAACCCAGACCGCCAGCUAAGGUCCCAAAGUCAUGGUUAAGUGGGAAACGAUGUGGGAAGGCACAGACAGCCAGGAUGUUGGCUUAGAAGCAGCCAUCAUUUAAAGAAAGCGUAAUAGCUCACUGGUCGAGUCGGCCUGCGCGGAAGAUGUAACGGGGCUAAACCAUGCACCGAAGCUGCGGCAGCGACACUAUGUGUUGUUGGGUAGGGGAGCGUUCUGUAAGCCUGCGAAGGUGUGCUGUGAGGCAUGCUGGAGGUAUCAGAAGUGCGAAUGCUGACAUAAGUAACGAUAAAGCGGGUGAAAAGCCCGCUCGCCGGAAGACCAAGGGUUCCUGUCCAACGUUAAUCGGGGCAGGGUGAGUCGACCCCUAAGGCGAGGCCGAAAGGCGUAGUCGAUGGGAAACAGGUUAAUAUUCCUGUACUUGGUGUUACUGCGAAGGGGGGACGGAGAAGGCUAUGUUAGCCGGGCGACGGUUGUCCCGGUUUAAGCAUGUAGGCUGGUUGUCCAGGCAAAUCCGGAUAAUCAAGGCUGAGGUGUGAUGACGAGGCACUACGGUGCUGAAGUAACAAAUGCCCUGCUUCCAGGAAAAGCCUCUAAGCAUCAGGUAACAUCAAAUCGUACCCCAAACCGACACAGGUGGUCAGGUAGAGAAUACCAAGGCGCUUGAGAGAACUCGGGUGAAGGAACUAGGCAAAAUGGUGCCGUAACUUCGGGAGAAGGCACGCUGGUGUGUAGGUGAAGUCCCUGCGGAUGGAGCUGAGACCAGUCGAAGAUACCAGCUGGCUGCAACUGUUUAUUAAAAACACAGCACUGUGCAAACACGAAAGUGGACGUAUACGGUGUGACGCCUGCCCGGUGCCGGAAGGUUAAUUGAUGGGGUUAUCCGUAAGGAGAAGCUCUUGAUCGAAGCCCCGGUAAACGGCGGCCGUAACUAUAACGGUCCUAAGGUAGCGAAAUUCCUUGUCGGGUAAGUUCCGACCUGCACGAAUGGCGUAAUGAUGGCCAGGCUGUCUCCACCCGAGACUCAGUGAAAUUGAACUCGCUGUGAAGAUGCAGUGUACCCGCGGCAAGACGGAAAGACCCCGUGAACCUUUACUAUAGCUUGACACUGAACAUUGAGCCUUGAUGUGUAGGAUAGGUGGGAGGCUUUGAAGCGUGGACGCCAGUCUGCGUGGAGCCAACCUUGAAAUACCACCCUUUAAUGUUUGAUGUUCUAACGUUGGCCCCUUACCGGGGUUGCGGACAGUGUCUGGUGGGUAGUUUGACUGGGGCGGUCUCCUCCCAAAGCGUAACGGAGGAGCACGAAGGUUAGCUAAUCCUGGUCGGACAUCAGGAGGUUAGUGCAAUGGCAUAAGCUAGCUUGACUGCGAGCGUGACGGCGCGAGCAGGUGCGAAAGCAGGUCAUAGUGAUCCGGUGGUUCUGAAUGGAAGGGCCAUCGCUCAACGGAUAAAAGGUACUCCGGGGAUAACAGGCUGAUACCGCCCAAGAGUUCAUAUCGACGGCGGUGUUUGGCACCUCGAUGUCGGCUCAUCACAUCCUGGGGCUGAAGUAGGUCCCAAGGGUAUGGCUGUUCGCCAUUUAAAGUGGUACGCGAGCUGGGUUUAGAACGUCGUGAGACAGUUCGGUCCCUAUCUGCCGUGGGCGCUGGAGAAUUGAGGGGGGCUGCUCCUAGUACGAGAGGACCGGAGUGGACGCAUCACUGGUGUUCGGGUUGUCAUGCCAAUGGCACUGCCCGGUAGCUAAAUGCGGAAGAGAUAAGUGCUGAAAGCAUCUAAGCACGAAACUUGCCCCGAGAUGAGUUCUCCCUGAGACUUUAAGUCUCCUGAAGGAACGUUGAAGACGACGACGUUGAUAGGCCGGGUGUGUAAGCGCAGCGAUGCGUUGAGCUAACCGGUACUAAUGAACCGUGAGGCUUAACCUU
RNAcentral lists this ribosomal RNA (2900 nucleotides) under Klebsiella pneumoniae. Its description in RNAcentral is "bacterial LSU rRNA". It matches the Rfam family "Bacterial large subunit ribosomal RNA". RNAcentral also lists the same sequence under 2 other names. Lineage: Bacteria; Pseudomonadati; Pseudomonadota; Gammaproteobacteria; Enterobacterales; Enterobacteriaceae. The record is from RNAcentral.